GAGGAAGGGGAAGGCAAACAGCUUCCCUCUCUUCCAGCAACUUCUCAUUUUGAAACAUUUCGAACCUACAGAACAAAAUAGAAAGAUUUUUUUAAAAAAUGGAGCCAAGAGCCUUUUAGCUAGAUUUAUUAAUUGUGGAUAUUUUGCCAUUGGUUUUUAACUCUAUGUAAGUAGGAUAAUGCUGAAAGUUACACAAAGGAGCAUGCCUUACCAUAUAAAAGGAAGGUCAACAAGCCAGUUAGAAACAUUCCAAUGGAAACGGUUGAUUUGAUAAGAAAUGUUGUGGAUGAUUUUCCUUUUUAUUCCCUUUAUUAUUAGAAUGCUUGCCCCACAAACAAAAACACAAAUAAGAGAGAAGAUUUUUUUAAAGAAGAAAAGCAUCAAAUCCACAGCAGAACGCUAGCAGCCUAGCCUCUCCAAGUGAAGAAUAAGAAGAUAGAGAGAGUGAAGUACCUCGAGACUAAAAAUUUACCCAAGGUUACAAAGCUGAAAAAACACAAAUUACAGCAGCACUACACCUGGAUCUCCCACCACCAACCUUUGGAGAGACCUCGGAGUGCAUCUCCAGAAACUCUGCAUGGAAGAGAAAAGAGGGAAGGAAGCUGUGAUAGUUCCCGGAAGGAGAAAGGCCACCGUAAGUGUGAAAAUAGUAACAGAGUUCCGGUAGCUAAGAGCAUUGACUACAGGAAAGAAACUGCAGAGUGACCUGAGAUUAAAAAAAGCAG
Leopardus geoffroyi (Geoffroy's cat) is the source of this 725-nucleotide long non-coding RNA. RefSeq lists it as uncharacterized. Lineage: Eukaryota; Metazoa; Chordata; Mammalia; Carnivora; Felidae. The transcript is spliced from 3 exons. The record is from RefSeq and is a predicted model, not a curated record.